Schistosoma haematobium is the source of this 45-nucleotide non-coding RNA. Lineage: Eukaryota; Metazoa; Platyhelminthes; Trematoda; Strigeidida; Schistosomatidae. The record is from Rfam.
AUCCAGCUAACGAGUCCCAAAUAGGACGAAACGCGCGUUCUGGAU